Molecule: ribosomal RNA, 324 nt
Filed under: uncultured eukaryote
Lineage: Eukaryota
Description: partial 18S ribosomal RNA
Rfam family: Eukaryotic small subunit ribosomal RNA
Source: RNAcentral
CCCUUAGAUGCUCUGGGCCGCACGCGCGCUACACUGGUCGAUGCAACGAGUUUCUUUCCUUGGCCGACAGGCCUGGGCAAUCUUUGAACAUCGAUCGUGAUCGGGAUAGAUUCUUGUAAUUUUUGAUCUUAAACGAGGAAUUCCUAGUAAACGCAAGUCAUCAGCUUGCAUUGAUUACGUCCCUGCCCUUUGUACACACCGCCCGUCGCACCUACCGAUUGAAUGGUCCGGUGAAAUCUCCGGACUGGCGUGAGUCGGAGCAAUCUGACAAACACCGGAAAGUUGAUUAAACCUUACCAUUUAGAGGAAGGUGAAGUCAUAACA